Triticum aestivum (bread wheat) is the source of this 673-nucleotide long non-coding RNA. RefSeq lists it as uncharacterized. The record is from RefSeq and is a predicted model, not a curated record. Lineage: Eukaryota; Viridiplantae; Streptophyta; Magnoliopsida; Poales; Poaceae. The transcript has 2 exons.
UAUAAGGACCAAAAUGCAAAUAUGCCGAUUGGAUAAGGUUUCCCAAUCUCAUCUCUUGUGCGUGCGUGGUGGGCUGAUGGCCAUUCAGAGACCAUCGCCAUUGUUGACUACUUAGGGACAAUGCUCGCCGGCGUCUUGCCGCAUUCUCCUGCCACCGCUGCUGCGAGACUGAAGUCGUUCAGGAGGACGCCGAUGCGCCGUGUGCCGGCUAUGCGCCCUUGCCUGUAGGGGACGCGUACAACUACGUGGUGGAUGUGCGCCGUGGCCGGGCUGCGCGCCGGCUGUGCGCCGAGUGGUGGAGGACGCCAUCGUCGCCAAAUGCCGAGAAGCAUGUCCAUUGAUUCCUGCCAUGGAAGGGUUGUGGUUGAUCGAAUCGGCAGCGAUUGAAAUUCUCCUAUGCUGAAGCCGUGCGUGCUGGAUGGAGUCGACAUCGCGAGUACAGGGGCAGACGUUGGUGCCGCCGUGACUAAUGUCGCCAUCCGCGCCAAGACUCGAUGUUGCAGUCCAGCGUGCGAGAUAACGCCGGUAACAUUGGGAAUCGCGCGAGGCGUCGAGGAGGUCUGGCCUAAUCGCUGUUAGGGCAAGGUGUUGAUAACGUGUAAAGAUGAAAAAGAGAGAGAGAAACGAAUGGAUUGAACAGUGAUUGCAUUGACCGAAGAAUAGGAUAUUUAUA